Molecule: long non-coding RNA, 7243 nt
Organism: Oncorhynchus nerka (sockeye salmon)
Lineage: Eukaryota; Metazoa; Chordata; Actinopteri; Salmoniformes; Salmonidae
Exons: 2
Source: RefSeq, a predicted model, not a curated record
GUGGUUAGAGCGUUGGACUAGUAACCAAAAGGUUGCAAGUUCAAAUCCCCGAGCCUACAAGGUACAAAUCUGUCGUUCUGCCCCUGAACAGGCAGUUAACCGACUGUCCCUAGGCCGUCAUUGAAAAUAAGAAUUUGUUCUUAAAACCUCUUAAGGCUAACAACAGGAAAUGCAAAUGCACAACGCCAAAUGCUAAUAGUACUCGCUUAAAGCUACACUCGUUGUGAAUCUAGCCAACAUGUCAGAUUUUUAAAAUGCUUUUCGGCGAAAGCAUGAGAAGCUAUUAUCUGAUAGCAUACCUGAAGGGAACGUAAACAAAAGAAUUAGCGUAGCUGGCGCUACACAAAACACAGAAAUAAAAUAUAAAACAUUCAUUACCUUUGACGAGCUUCUUUGUUGGCACUCCUAUAUGUCCCAUAAACAUCACAAUUGGGUAUUUUUUUUUAUUAAAUCCAUCCAUGUAUACCCAAAAUGUCCAUUUAUGAAGCCCGUCUGAUCCAGGAAAAAGCAGCUUUCCAAAACGCAACGUCAUUUUUUUAAAUUAAAAAAGUUGCCUAUAAACUUUGACAAAACACUUCAAACUACUUUUGUAAACCAACUUUAGGUAUUAGUAAACGUUAAUAAUCGAUCAAAUUGAUCACGGGGCGAUCUGUAUUAAAUAGCAAGUCUUGAAAUCAUGGUCCAUAUUCUCUCUUUCAAAACUUCCUCCUGUGUACUCGAUGACAGGAAGUGCCUAUUUCUCAUUUCACCAAGGAUUAACUUCAACCCAGUUGCCAAGACUGGCAACAUCGUGUGGAAGCUGUAGGCAUUGUAAACUGGUCGCUAUCUAUUUUCCCUUGCCAUAGACAAUACAGGCAACUGGCGGCGGGAUAUUUUUUAUGUUUUGGGUGAACAGUUUUCCUUGGGCUUUUGCCUGCUAAACACAUUCUGUUAUAGUCACAGACAUGAUUUAACUAGUUUUAGAAACUUCAGAGUGUUUUCUAUCUACACAUACUAAUCAUAUGCAUGUACUAUAUUCCUGGCAUGAGUAGCAGGACGUUGAAAUUUUGCGCGAUUUUUAACAAAACGUUGAAAAAAAAGACCCGAUCAGUUCUUAACUGACUUGCCUAGUUAAAUAAAGGUAAAAAAAAAAAAAAGUUAUUUUGCUCCUUUGCACCCCAGUAUCUCUACUUGCACACGGCUAUCACUUCAGUGUUUAAUUGCUAUAUUGUAAUUAUUUCACCACUUUGGCCUAUUUAUUGCCUUACCUCUUAUGCUACCUCAUUUGCACACACUGUAUAUAGACUUUUUUUAUUUUGUAUUAUUGACUGUGUUUGUUCCAUAUGUAACUCUGUUGUUUGUGUCGUACUGCUUUGCUUUAUCUUGGCCAGGUCGCAGUUGUAAAUGAGAACUUGUUCUCAACUAGCCUACCUGGUUAAAUAAAGGUGAAAUAAAUAACAGUAAAAAAAUUCAGACCCUUUACUCAGUACUUUGUUGAAGCACCAUUGGCAGCGUUUUACAGCCUCGGAUCUUCUAAGGUAUGACACUACAAGCUUGGCUCACCUGUAGUUGGAGUUUCUCCCAUUUCUCUGCAGAUCCUUUCAAGCUCUUAGGUUGAGAGCGUUGCUGCACGGCUUUUUUCACGUCUCUCCAGAGAUGUUCGAACGGGUUCAAGUCCGGGCUCUGGUUGGACCACUCAAGGACAUUCAGACUCGUCCUGGAGUCACUCCUGCGUUGUCUUGGCUGUGUCCUUAGGGUUGUUGUCCUGUUGGAAGGUUAACCUUCACCCAAGUCUGAGGUCCUGAGGAUAUCUCUGUACUUUGCUCCGUUCAUCUUUCCCUCGAUCCUGACUAGUCUCCCAGUGCCUUCCACUGAAAAACAUCCCCACAGCUUGUUGCUGCUACAUGCUUCACCGUAGGGAUGGUGCCAGGUUUCCUCCAGAUGUGACACUUGGCAUUCAGGCCAAAGAGUUCAAUCUUGGUUUCAUCAGACCAGAGAAUCUUGUUUAUCAUGGUGUGAGAGUCCUUUAGGCCAGGCAGCCAACUCUAGGAAGAUUCUUGGUGGUUCCGAACUUCCAUUUUAAGGAUGAUGGAGGCCACUGUGUUCUUGGGGACCUUCAAUGCUGCAGACAUUUUGUGGUACCCUUCCCCAGAUCUGUGCCUCGACACAAUCCUGUCUCUGAGCUCUACGGACAAUUCCUUCGACCUCAUUGCUUGGUUUUUGCUCUGACGUGCACUGUUAACACUGGGACUUUAUAUAUACACGUGUGCCUUUCAAAAUCAUGUCCAAUCAAUUGAAUUUACCACAGGUGGACUCAAAGUUGUAGAAACAUCAAGGAUGAUCAAUUGAAACUGGAUGCACCUGAACAAAAUUUCUAUUCUCAUAGCAAAAUAUAUAUAUUUUUAGUACAUUUCUAACCAUGUCUAAAUCUGUUCACUUUGUCAUUAUGGGGUAUUGUGUGGAGAUUGAGUAAACAUUUAUUUAAUCAAUUUUAGAAUAAGGCUGUAACGUAAUAAAAUGUAGAAAAAGGGAAGGGGUCUGAAUACUUUAACAUUUCAACCAAUCAAUUGGUCAUUGGUCGAGAGAACAGACUUUCGGUUGACCAAUUUCUUUUUGUCGGGGACGGCCCUAGUCUGGUUUUGUUUUAUUUAUUUAUACUUGUUUUUGUAUUGUGCAGGGCAAUUUUUUUUUAAAAUAGGACUUCCCUGUUUUUUUUAUUUUAUUUAUUUUAUUUUUUUUCACCUUUAUUUAACCAGGUAGGCUAGUUGAGAACAGGUUCUCAUUUGCAACUGCGACCUGGCCAAGAUAAAGCAUAGCAGUGUGAACAGACAACACAGAGUUACACAUGGAAUAAACAAUUAACAAGUCAAUAACACAGUAGAGAAAAAAGGGGAGUCUAUAUACAAUGUGUGCAAAAGGCAUGAGGAGGUAGGCGAAUAAUUACAAUAUUGCAGAUUAACGAUCAGAUGAUCAUGUACAGGUAGAGAUAUUGGUGUGCAAAAGAGCAGAAAAGUAAAUAAAUAAAAAUAAAAACUGUGGGGAUGAGGUAGGUGAAGAUGGGUGGGCUAUUUACCAAUAGAUUAUGUACAGCUGCAGCGAUCGGUUAGCUGCUCAGAUAGCUGAUGUUUGAAGUUGGUGAGGGAGAUAAAAGUCUCCAACUUCAGCGAUUUUUGCAAUUCGUUCCAAUCACAGGCAGCAGAGUACUGGAACGAAAGGCGGCCGAAUGAGGUGUUGGCUUUAGGGAUGAUCAAUGAGAUACACCUGCUGGAGCGCGUGCUACGGAUGGGUGUUGCCAUCGUGACCAGUGAGCUGAGAUAAGGCGGAGCUUUGCCUAGCAUGGCCUUGUAGAUGACCUGGAGCCAGUGGAUCUGGCGACGAAUAUGUAGCGAGGGCCAGCCGACUAGAGCAUACUGUGGCGAAAUCUGCUCGGAGCCUUCACGGUGCACUGCCACUUUAAGAGCGCAUGAGCAGUAAGGAAGGAGGCGAUAAAGAGUUCGUUCAGCUCUUUGGGGAGGAGCUCUUGGGUGGCGCGACAGUUUGAUUGUGUGUGCUGUGCUGCAGAGGUGUUUUGUUUUCAGCGUUUGUAGUUUAUAAUGUAGUUAACUCAAUCAUCGGUGUGAUCGCUUUAGAUCGUGGUUGUUUUUGUUUGGGACCGCGCCCGUUAUGGAUCGCAUGGAUUCGUAGCAACAUUGUUGCGAAGCUUUAACAUACAAACCAACAAACCAUCGGACAGUCAGACGGUACACGGCAGGCCUGAAGACCACAGCUAAGAUUUCUCUUUUUCUCUCUCUUUCUCUUCCCUCUCGUUCCAGUGCUUUACCCUGCAACAGACUCUCUAUUUUUCAAAUGCACUUCCCCUUGAAGUUCAUUAGAGCUGGACUAUUAUUGCCCUGCCAGAAGUAUUUUGAUGGACAUUUUAGUUAAAGGGAGGUUGCUUGCAAGUUGUGCAUUGUUAUGUGAACUGUAUUGAGGUGAGGUGUACUAAUGACAUGUGGCCGAGAAGACUGGACAUUUUUAAGGCCUUUGUUGUGUCGAUGAACACCCCCCCAUUCAUACCCUCUGCACUCACCCACUAGAAAAUAAUACAGAUUAUUGCAAAUCCUAUGUUGAUGACUGGGUUCGUUCUUGUAUGAAGUUGCUGUUGAAUUGCUCUGCCAUUAUUAGUAUUAGUAUUAUUGUAUGAGGUAUUCUUGUUUGGGUUACCCCUGUGCUGUGAUGUGGGUUUUAUAUGGUGUGUAUUCUUGUUUGGGUUACCCCUGUGCUGUGAUGUGGGUUUUAUAUGGUGUGUAUUCUUUUUUCUCUCCACUGGCUAUCUGGUAAACAGGCUACACUCUAGGCAGUCUCUUUUGCUGAUGUGUGUGGGUCUGGUAGUGGUACUCUCUCUAUUCUACUCUUUUCCUUUCGGCAUGGUUAAUACCUGCCUGGCGCCCGAACAAAAUCUUUCUUUACCCCUCUCUAAUAAAUACCGCUACAGAAUGCAUACAAGUCGCAGUGGUGGGUAGUAUAAGGUGCUUUAGUGACAAAACGGAUGGCACUGUGAUAAACUGCAUCCAGUUUGCUGAGAAGAGUGUUGGAAGCGAUUUUGUAGAUGACAUCGCCGAAGUCGAGGAUCGGUAGGAUAGUCAGUUUUACUAGGGAAAGCUUGGCAGCGUGAGUGAAGGAGGCUUUGUUGCGGAAUAGAAAGCCGACUCUUGAUUUGAUUUUGGAUUGGAGAUGUUUGAUAUGGGUCUGGAAGGAGAGUUUGCAGUCUAGCCAGACACCUAGGUACUUAUAGGCGUCCACAUAUUCAAGGUCGGAACCAUCCAGUGUGGUGAUGCUAGUCGGGCAUCACCACACUUUUAUUUUAAUUUUUUAUCUUUAUUUCAGAAGUGGUAGUAGACGGUGGAAAAAGUACUUUAUUGUCAUACUUGAGUAAAAGUAAAGAUGCCUUAAUAGAAAAUUACAUAAGUAAAAGUGAGUCACCCAGUAAAAUACUAUUUGAGUACAAGUCUAAACGUAUUUGGUUUUAAAUUCACUUAAAUAUCAAAAGUGAAUGUAAUUGAUAAAAUAUUCUUAUGUAUCAAAGUAAGUGUAAAUCAUUGCUAAUUCCUUAUUAAGCAAACCAGACGGCACAAUUUUGAUGUUUUAAAAAUGUAUUUGCGGCUUGCCAGAGGCACUUUCCAACACUCACAUCAUUUACAAACUAAACCUGUAAUUUUCAUCAUAGGUACACUUCAACUAUGACAGACAAAAUGAGAGAAAAUAAAUCCAGAAAAUCACAUUGUAGGAUUUUUAAUGAAUUUAUUUGCAAAUUAUGGUGGAAAAUAAGUAUUUGGUCAAUAUACCCUUUGUUGGCAAUGACAGAGGUCAAACGUUUUCUGUAAGUCUUCAAGGUUUUCACACACUGUUGCUGGUAUUUUGGCCCAUUCCUCCAUGCAGAUCUCCUCUAGAGCAGUGAUGUUUUGGGGAUUUUUUUUUCUCAUUUUGUCUGUCAUAGUUGAAGUGUACCUAUGAUGAAAAUUACAGGCCUCUCAUCUUUUUAAGUGGGAGAACUUGCACAAUUGGUGGCUGACUAAAUACUUUUUUGCCCCAUUAUAUACAAUAGUUGAAUAGGAUGGCAUUUACUAGAGUACAGAAUUUACAUAGGAAAUUAGAAAACAAUAUUAAAAAUGACCAGUGUUCCAUUAUUAAAGUGGCCACUGAUUCUAUGUCUGUACAUAGGGCAGCAGUCUCUAAGGUGCAGGGUUGAGUAGCCGAGUGGUAGCCUGCUAGUGACAGUGACAGCCGGGUGGUAGCCUGCUAGUGACAGUGACAAGUUCAGGGCGGGGUACUGGGUGGAGGCUGGCUAGUGAUGGCUAUUUAACAGUCUGAUGGCCUUGAGAUUGAAAAACAGCUUCUGUCUCUCGAUCCCAGCUUUGAUGCACCUGUACUGACCUUGCCUUCUGGAUGAUAGCGGGGUGAACAGGCCGUGGCUCGGGUGGUUGUCUUUUGGUCUUCCUGUGACAGCUGGUGCUGUAGGUGUCCUGGAGGGCAGGCAGUGUGCCCCCGGUGAUCCUUUGGGCAGACUGCACCACCCUCUGUAGAGCCCAUGCGGUUGCUAGUGGUGCAGUUGCCGUACCAGGCGGUGAUUCAGCCCGGCAGGAUGCUCUCAAUGGUGCAUCUGUAAGAGUUUGCGUCUUAGGGGCCAAGCCAAAUUUAUUCAGCCUCCUGAGGUUGAAGACACGCUGUUGCACGGCCUUCACCACUUUGUCUGUGUGGCUGGACAAUUUUUCAGAUUGUCAGUAAUGUGUACGGCAAGGAACAUAAAGCUUUUCACCUUCUCCACUGCGGCCCUGUAGAUGUGGUGAAACUUCCACGUCCGGUUGUGAACAACACAUAAGCUAAUUCAAACAAAAAACACUAUUUUUCAUUGGACAUCAAUGCACGUGUGAUAGAGCAGCAGAGGAUGCACUACGAUUUUUUUUUUUGUACCUUGAUGCUUCUCUCCACUGUCUUAAACAAAACAAAGACAGCAAAUGCUCCUGGGUGCAGCCAGUGGUGCCGUUUCCCCUAAUGCAGCUUUAAAGGGAUAGUGCAAGUGUGCUGCCAUCCUGUUAGAAGGUAACAGAUUAUUUUAUUACAAUGGUUAAAUUGGAUUUUCAUUGUUUUCAAUGGUGUUAUUUGCCCCCUAGUGGCGCUUUCUGGUACUUAGAAAGACGACACAAACAGGAAGUACAGAAUUUGUUUUGCACGCUUAGAAGCAGCUACAAACAACGCUACGGUGCAGGUCUUUCAAUGUAGUUAUUUCUUGUGCUUGAGCCCGCUGUGAUGUUUUUUCACUAUUCUGCCCUUGAGUUGCGUACCCAUGCAAAACUAGACAGAUAGCUAACAACUAAGUCUUCAAUAAAACUCCCAAGGCGUGACUUUUCUUGAAUGAAUAUAUUGAAAACGUUUAUGUUGUGAAACUGCAAAAUACAGAAAAGAAUAUACUUUAGUGUUCAAUUCACACCGACAUACUGUAGCUGUACAUUAAACAUUUGAAGUUGCAUAAAUACAAAAGCACGCGCUAAGGUACCAUGCAUCUGGCAUGAUGCCAAACCAUAUAGCUAAUUGUUAACCAUAUGGUAAUUGGCUCCUUUCAUUACUCUAAUAAUGUAUAACCAUCUAUGUGGAAUAACAAAGCAUAUUACACUAGAAACAGUAACAAAACUACAGUAUUGUAUAUUUUACAAUUCGUUUGCAUGACGCAUGAGCAAAGUAAUACAGCUAACGACAUACAUUAAAGGCAUUGCAAUUUGUGAGUAAA